This 72-nucleotide transfer RNA is filed under the name Trichonephila inaurata madagascariensis. Its description in RNAcentral is "tRNA-His". It matches the Rfam family "tRNA". Rfam says of the family: Transfer RNA (tRNA) molecules are approximately 80 nucleotides in length. Their secondary structure includes four short double-helical elements and three loops (D, anti-codon, and T loops). The record is from RNAcentral. Lineage: Eukaryota; Metazoa; Arthropoda; Arachnida; Araneae; Nephilidae.
GGCCUGUUGCGCAACGGAUAACGCGCAUGACUAUGGAUCAGGAGUUUCCAGGUUCGAAUCCUGGCUGGAUCG